This is a long non-coding RNA of Loxodonta africana (African savanna elephant), 5093 nucleotides long. RefSeq lists it as uncharacterized. The transcript has 3 exons. The record is from RefSeq and is a predicted model, not a curated record. Lineage: Eukaryota; Metazoa; Chordata; Mammalia; Proboscidea; Elephantidae.
CCCCGGCCCCCGGCCCCCUUCACCUUCCAGCGUGGCACGGUACCAACCAGAUUAGGUACGUAUGGAAGUGUUUUUCCCCUUUUGAUACUAAAUCUCCCUACCAAAAACCACUUGCCGCUACAAGAGAAAGCGACGGACUUUGCCUAAAACUACUACGGUAAUUCUUACUCAACGCCGCCAAAACGAAGAUAAUUUUGUUUCUACACUGACAAGUAAAAGAACAGAUUGCAUAAGAAACCAAGCGUGUAAACCGGGGAAAAAAAAAAAAAACGCCGUAAAAAACACACCACUAUCAGAAAAAAAGUUCAGAGCAAGCACAAGCUGCCAGAGAAAUUUACAGUCUGUUUUUUCAUACCAAACAAACUUCCCCCCGAAGGGGGUGCACCGUUCCUGGAAGUACUGCAAUACCAGGUCGAUGCGUGGAGUGGACGGAGCAAGCUCCUAUUCCAUCUCCCAGCUCCAAAAAUCCAUUUAAUAUAUUGUCCUCGGAUAGAGGACGUAUCAGAUAUUAAACUGAUAAGAACAGAUACUACACUUGAUCUUAGCCAAAAGGCCGAGAAGCGAUACCGACCACUUCGGGAUCGCUGCUAUCCAUCUUCUAUCACACAUAUUACAGUCAUGCUGAGAUCCCUUCUUUUAGUCCGGAUGUUACUUCCUUUACCUCUUUCACAGUAGUAUGAAAGUAGGUGGACCUUGUACAGAUUGUGUAUUCCGUACAUUUUUAAGAGACUUUUUAUACGCAUUUUUACGCCUUCGUUUCCGGGCUGACGCGCCAUCCCUAAUUUGCAUGCCCCGCCAGGUACCCUCCCCCCGAGGAGGCGUGGCUAUCGCGGCGGGCUCCACCCUUGAGGCCGCCUCCGAGCGCUGCGAGCGGACCUCCCGGUUGCAGCCGGCGGAGACAGAACUGAGUGGGGGACGGGAGGGGCCGGUGGGAGGGAGUUAUUGGUGGAGAGCAGUUCGGCAUUUCCGGAAGAGAGCCACCGCUUCGCCAGUGUGAAGGCGGCAGGCUGGGUCCGGGCCGAAGACGGAGCCGAUCGCUGAGAGCCCAGGUGUGCUGGUACGGCGCCGCCUGGAAGGGGCCUCAGAGAGGAGUCGAGACCCCAGGAGGUCGUCGAGCCUCAGUUUCCCCAGCUGAGAAGUAGAAACGUUCAUGGCUACCGCGUCGGGUUGGGGGAGUAUAAACCGAGCUAAAUGGCUGAACAGUCUAGAAUAUGGGUCUUAGUGUCCGACGAGGUUCCCGUGAAGGGGUCACGGCUGCUGAGGACGGAAUAUGGGAAGCCCUGCCCAGCGCUGAAGAUCCGAAGGGAGCUGGGGGUUGCGUCGGGCCACAGAGCCCAGGUCAAGGUCCGCAGAGCCCCUGGGCUGACUCAGCCCGCUCCUUUGCCUGCGCUUCACCGCCCCUAGGGGCGCCGUCAUCCUCUCAGGCGAGACCCCAUUCCCUCUUCGCGGCAGCGGGGGGCAGCAGAGAGCAACCAAGGUAGCCUCCGUCUCUGUGUGCCCUGGCCUCGCACCAGCCGGGUGAGGUCAUCCAGCCUGCGCUGACCUGGUAGACAAGUAAACCAGGGUCCAGAGAGGGAGACUUCAAGGUCAUCCCGGUGAAAGACCGAGCUCAGCGCUCAGGCCUCGUGUUAAGAGCCGCUCUCCACGAUGGUACUUCAUUUCAUCCAUUCCAAGAUGCACAUUUUUUUUUUUUUCAUAUUUUGUAUCUCCGAAAUCAGGAUGUAUCUUACGUGUGAUGUCAGCCUGCUACUGUUUACGCGGCAGUGGUAUUUUCUUCUCUCUCCCUCCCUCCCUCUUUCUGAUACCUAAAAUAAUGGUGCCUCUCACAAUCAGUGACAUCUUAGAUUCGUGAAAUGCUGUAAUAUUAAAAGCCUCUGUUUGUUGAAUUCUGAUCCUUAACCCUUUACUCAUCACAACACCUCUAGGAUGAAGGUAUUAUCUCCCUUUACAGGGAAGGAAACUUAUCCGGGACCGCGUGAGUGCAACUUGACUGCUUUUUGUACGGCCAAUAAAUAACGGAGCUGCGAUUUCACCAGACUUUUCACCUGGCUCACGCUUCUAACCGCUACACUUUGCUCCCUCCACGACAAGAUUCUGGGUCUUGAAUAAUAACAAGCUCUUUUCUUUAACUGCAGACUUACAAGUGACUCCGAUCAGGCGACAGCACGGAAGAUGCCCUGAGACACAAUGGGAGUUUAAAACUCCAGACUGGAAGGGGUUGGGUGGGAUGGGGAGUGGAAUCCUAGAGCUGGAGGGAAACCUGAGGUCAGAGGUGGGGUCGGAAGAGGUGGCGUGCACAGGGCAGGCAGGAGAGGGGCUCAGAAAGGGAGGCGGGAAGGAGGAGGGCGCAGUCUUGGCCAGCUGACCCUGAAAAUCCCUCCUCUAGCAUGAGGACUGAUUCAGGGGGCUGGAAUCAUUUUCCCAAUUCAGCCCAGGGUCCCGUUCCAAGCAUCUUCCUAUCUGAUCCCUGUUCCUUGCAGAAUGAGAAGAGAAUAAGAGGGAAAGUGAGAGCAUGGCCGGGUUGAAACCCCAGGUUCUGCUCAGCCCGACGCGUCUCAUCCAGUAAAGGUGGGAGUGUAGCAAGACCCUUUAUUUCAUCGUGCAAGGAAAGGAGCAGUCGGGGCGGCUGCCGCCAAGACUGCUCAGGGAGGGCGAGGGGAAAGGUUACUUUUCAGGGGUUUACAAGUGGGAAGUUCAGACAAGUUACUUCCGCAAUGUCCUUAAUCGGACUGCGCAGGCACGAUGCAGCGCACGCUCAGAAAAUGGCGGUGAAGCCCCGCCCAGAGGCGGGGAGGCUGCUAUGCAUAGGCUGUUUACCGAGCUAAAAGGGUACCCUGAAGGUCAGCUUGGCGCCUAAACUGGUUUCUGCCAAUUACCUCUGGUUUGAGGGCAGCAGUUAAGGAGAGGGGAACCGGGAUUCUAAUGUAAAGCUACAGAGGGAGCGUGCCAAGCAAGCUGCUUGAGGCAGUGGAAUCUCUGUCUUAAGAGAGGAAGAGUUGCAAAAAAGAACCCACUUCCUCCCUUGUCCAUUUAAUUACUGAAACAUUCCAGUGCCUUUCACCUCCUCUUAUUAUCAUUGUUUCCACGUAGAUAUUUUAAAAAGCUGGGACAUCCCUACCACCGGCAUAGCUGGUUGCCCAUUGUGAGGGCAGGCACUUCCCAAGCAUUCUCUGGGGUCUGGACAACCCUCCCAUGAAGGCUCAGAGAUGCUGAGUGACCUGCCCAUUCCCCCAGGUAGUAAGUGACACUGCCUGGAUCGAACCUGAGUCUGUUUGACUCCAAAGUCCAAGCUGACUUCACCACAAGCUCUCCAAGAACCAGGAACUCAUUCUCCGGUUCAAGGGCUUCUGCCUCCCCACCCCAUCCCCACCACCACACUGGAGGCUGUGUUUGGGGCUGGGGCUGGGUUUGAAGACCCUUUUUCAUGGACACCCUUCUCCUGCCCCCAGCCCUGAGGCCAAACUCAGGCUCUGCUGCUUCCAGAAAGAUGCAUUUCUGGGGUUAAAGGUGUGUGCCUGUAUGUGUGUGAGUGUGAGAACGAGGUAGGUCAAUAGCCUCCUUGGGACGAGUUAAAGCACACAGUCCCUCCCCCAAAAGCCUUUCUGGGCUCCAGGGAAUGCCUCUCCCCACCUGGUCGUGUAGGAAGAAUAAUAGUAAUACAGGAAUAAUACCAACCUGUAGGUGAACAACUUUACACUUUCUCUUGUAUAUUUCAAAUCCAUUAAUUGAUUUGAUUCUCAUGCCAGCCCUGUGAAGAAGGUAACAAAUAAUACCCUUCUUGUUCUACAAGGAAGGAAACCGAGGCCCAGAGAGGGUAGGUAGGGUCCCCAGGGUCACAGGAAGAGGCCGACCCUAGGCUUGAGCUCAGCAUGAAAACCCCCCAGGGCUAGGCCGGUUCCUAACAAGUCACCUUGCCUUCUAGGGACCCCAGUGAGAGCUGGAUUUUGUAUUUUCUUUCCUCUUGACUCAGACAGACAUGUACCAGCAGGGGGAGGAGGUGGAGGACUGAGGGAAAGGAAAUUCCAGAGCAUUUGGGGGUGGGCGGGGCCCCGCAGAGGGCCAGAUGGGGUGCUGGAAGCCUGGAAAGGGUUAGAGAAAGAAGCCUGAGAGAACCAUCCCUAGGCACACCGAGACUAAAAACUGAGGUAGAAAGGUGUCACCUACCUGCUCAGGACCCUGGAGAGAAAGGAACUGAAGAAACUCCAAAAGGAAGAGAAGCAACCUGAAAAGUCUCGACCAUGUCCGGAGCCGAAGUCUCAGCCACCACCUCCAUUGCAACCACAGCAGGCACCGUCGCCACAGCCACCGUCGCCACAGCCACCGCCUCAGCCGAGGCAACAAAAUGUCCGAGGUCCUGAUAACCAGUAUGCCUCCAAGUGCAUAUUCUACAAGGAUUCCAGCGGGCCGGGUCCCCAGGGUGGCUCAAUGGGGGUCAGAUAGUUGGAGGGCCAUCCAAGAGAUCCCAAGUGGGGCUGAAAGCUUUUCCAGGCCCUGGUGUGGGAGUGGGGGCAGGUGGUGAGAAGGGAGCCCCUCGCUCCCAUUUCGGCCCUAUUGCCGUGUCUGCCACCCAUCCUCUCUGACUCUCCCCAGCAUGCUCAGCCUUUACUACCUUCUUGGCCGACCACUCCCUCUGGGGUGGGUUUGUGCCAACCCAGGGCUGCAGAGAAGCCUGCCAACUUCUGCAGAGGGUGGCUGACAAGUCCUCAGCCCUUCCUCCAGGGUGGGAGUGACAGAGGGGGUGGGUGGUCAGAUGGUUGUAGGCUUAUCAACAGAUCUCCUGUCGGGUCUGAAACGGGGAAGCCCCAGGGUGACCUCCUAGUUGAGAAUCAUCAGGGUGGCCUGCCAUGUUCCACAUGGCUUCGCUGUGUUCCAUUCCCAGAAACUGCUGGAUGAGUAACGUGUGCUUUGUUUCAUCAUCAGGUCUGAAGAGCUCAUGCCAGGCUAGCCCAGUCAGAUACACUGGGUUCUCACGAUUCUCGUCAACAAAUUACAUACAGCAGUGGUGAUCCAGAAACAGACCUCAAGACCCCACUGGCCACCAGUGGAACAAGCACACCUCACCACCCAGCAACAUCUCCACUCCAAAAGCCACC